CUGACUGCUAUCGGAUUGAUACUAAGCCAUGCGAGUCAUUGUAGCAGUACAAGGCAGACGGCUCAGUAACGCGUAGUCAACCUAACCUAUGGACGGGAAUAACCUCGGGAAACUGAGAAUAAUGCCCGAUAGAACACUAUGCCUGGAAUGGUUUGUGUUCCAAAUGAUUUAUCGCCGUAGGAUGGGACUGCGGCCUAUCAGUUUGUUGGUGAGGUAAUGGCCCACCAAGACUAUUACAGGUACGGGCUCUGAGAGGAGUAGCCCGGAGAUGGGUACUGAGACACGGACCCAGGCCCUAUGGGGCGCAGCAGGCGAGAAAACUUUGCAAUGUGCGAAAGCACGACAAGGUUAAUCCGAGUGGUUUGUGCUAAACAGACCUUUUGUUAGUCCUAGAAACACUAACGAAUAAGGGGUGGGCAAGUUCUGGUGUCAGCCGCCGCGGUAAAACCAGCACCUCAAGUGGUCAGGAUGAUUAUUGGGCCUAAAGCAUCCGUAGCCGGCUCUGUAAGUUUUCGGUUAAAUCUGUAUGCUCAACAUACAGGCUGCCGGGAAUACUGCAGAGCUAGGGAGUGGGAGAGGUAGACGGUACUCGGUAGGAAGGGGUAAAAUCCUUUGAUCUAUUGAUGACCACCUGUGGCGAAGGCGGUCUACCAGAACACGUCCGACGGUGAGGGAUGAAAGCUGGGGGAGCAAACCGGAUUAGAUACCCGGGUAGUCCCAGCUGUAAACUAUGCAAACUCAGUGAUGCAUUGGCUUGUGGCCAAUGCAGUGCUGCAGGGAAGCCGUUAAGUUUGCCGCCUGGGAAGUACGUACGCAAGUAUGAAACUUAAAGGAAUUGGCGGGGGAGCACCACAAGGGGUGAAGCCUGCGGUUCAAUUGGAGUCAACGCCGGG
Molecule: ribosomal RNA, 893 nt
Filed under: uncultured archaeon
Lineage: Archaea
Description: bacterial SSU rRNA
Rfam family: Archaeal small subunit ribosomal RNA
Source: RNAcentral